Molecule: non-coding RNA, 205 nt
Organism: Oryza glumipatula
Lineage: Eukaryota; Viridiplantae; Streptophyta; Magnoliopsida; Poales; Poaceae
Source: Rfam
AAUAAGUGUAGCCAUGAGUUUCCGCGUCCAAUUUUGAUCGUCCGUCUUAUUUAAAAUUUUUUUAUAAUUAGCAUUUUUAUUGUUAUGAGAUGAUAAAACAUGAAUAGUAUUUUACUCGUGACUUAUGUUUUUAAAUUUUUAAAAAAAUUUUUCAAAUAAGACAAACGGUCAAAGUUGGACGCGAAAAAAUAUAGCUGCACUUAUU